AUUGAAAAGGGGUAGUGUGGAA
Molecule: non-coding RNA, 22 nt
Filed under: Arabidopsis thaliana (thale cress)
Lineage: Eukaryota; Viridiplantae; Streptophyta; Magnoliopsida; Brassicales; Brassicaceae
Source: RNAcentral